RNAcentral lists this ribosomal RNA (578 nucleotides) under uncultured bacterium. RNAcentral describes it as "partial 16S ribosomal RNA". It matches the Rfam family "Bacterial small subunit ribosomal RNA", at positions 355 to 923 of the family's 1533-position model. The record is from RNAcentral.
UGGGGAAUUUUGGACAAUGGGCGAAAGCCUGAUCCAGCAAUGCCGCGUGUGUGAAGAAGGCCUUCGGGUUGUAAAGCACUUUUGUCCGGAAAGAAAUCCUUGGCUCUAAUACAGUCGGGGGAUGACGGUACCGGAAGAAUAAGCACCGGCUAACUACGUGCCAGCAGCCGCGGUAAUACGUAGGGUGCAAGCGUUAAUCGGAAUUACUGGGCGUAAAGCGUGCGCAGGCGGUUUGCUAAGACCGAUGUGAAAUCCCCGGGCUCAACCUGGGAACUGCAUUGGUGACUGGCAGGCUAGAGGUAUGGCAGAGGGGGGUAGAAUUCCACGUGUAGCAGUGAAAUGCGUAGAGAUGUGGAGGAAUACCGAUGGUGAAGGCAGCCCCCCUGGGCCAAUACUGACGCUCAUGCACGAAAGCGUGGGGAGCAAACAGGAUUAGAUACCCUGGUAGUCCACGCCCUAAAGCGAUGUCAACUAGUUGUUGGGGAUUCAUUUCCUUAGUAACGUAGCUAACGCGUGAAGUUGACCGCCUGGGGAGUACGGUCGCAAGAUUAAAACUCAAAGGAAUUGACGGGGUCAUA